GCCCGAUUGAUGGAACUGGCAGACAUAGCAGUCUUAGAAGCUGCGGCUUAGGCGUGAGAGUUCGAGUCUCUCAUUGGGCA
Molecule: transfer RNA, 80 nt
Filed under: Caudoviricetes sp.
Lineage: Duplodnaviria; Heunggongvirae; Uroviricota; Caudoviricetes
Description: tRNA-Leu
Rfam family: tRNA
About the family: Transfer RNA (tRNA) molecules are approximately 80 nucleotides in length.
Source: RNAcentral